CAUUCACGGAGAGUUUGAUCCUGGCUCAGGACGAACGCUGGCGGCGUGCUUAACACAUGCAAGUCGAACGAUGAAGCCUUUCGGGGUGGAUUAGUGGCGAACGGGUGAGUAACACGUGGGCAAUCUGCCCUUCACUCUGGGACAAGCCCUGGAAACGGGGUCUAAUACCGGAUAACACUCUGUCCCGCAUGGGACGGGGUUAAAAGCUCCGGCGGUGAAGGAUGAGCCCGCGGCCUAUCAGCUUGUUGGUGGGGUAAUGGCCUACCAAGGCGACGACGGGUAGCCGGCCUGAGAGGGCGACCGGCCACACUGGGACUGAGACACGGCCCAGACUCCUACGGGAGGCAGCAGUGGGGAAUAUUGCACAAUGGGCGAAAGCCUGAUGCAGCGACGCCGCGUGAGGGAUGACGGCCUUCGGGUUGUAAACCUCUUUCAGCAGGGAAGAAGCGAGAGUGACGGUACCUGCAGAAGAAGCGCCGGCUAACUACGUGCCAGCAGCCGCGGUAAUACGUAGGGCGCAAGCGUUGUCCGGAAUUAUUGGGCGUAAAGAGCUCGUAGGCGGCUUGUCACGUCGGAUGUGAAAGCCCGGGGCUUAACCCCG
This 601-nucleotide ribosomal RNA is filed under the name Streptomyces griseus. RNAcentral's name for it is "bacterial SSU rRNA". It matches the Rfam family "Bacterial small subunit ribosomal RNA", at positions 1 to 617 of the family's 1533-position model. Lineage: Bacteria; Bacillati; Actinomycetota; Actinomycetes; Kitasatosporales; Streptomycetaceae. The record is from RNAcentral.